Sphaerodactylus townsendi is the source of this 5384-nucleotide RNA transcript. It is a transcript of the gene named AMMECR1 like, with no coding region annotated. Lineage: Eukaryota; Metazoa; Chordata; Lepidosauria; Squamata; Sphaerodactylidae. The record is from RefSeq and is a predicted model, not a curated record. The transcript has 8 exons.
UCCGAAGAUCUAUGGUUUUCCUGUAGAGUUCCAGCCUUCAUUUUAAGUCUAUGAUCUUCGCGGAGCAGAUGGGCGGACAGCGCAAACAUUCCACCCCCAUUACCUCACCUUCAGCGAACGGGCCGCUGGGAUAGUGGAGGACCCGGGCUUUUCCGCCUGGCUUCAGCUCUCUUUUCAGCCGGCGGCGAGGCUGGGAUUCCUCGUCCGGUAUCACGGUGUAGUUUCCCUCCACUGCCUGCCUUGCCUCACCCCGCCCCGCCGGGACCGCUUCUUCGGUGCUCCCCCGGCCCAUGGCUCCAUGAAGCGCGGGGCGGUAGAGGAGGAGGAGGCGGCGGCGGCGGCGGCGGCGGCGGCGGGGAGGCAAGAGCAGGAGCGGCGGCGCUGGUGGCGGCGGCGGUGGUUGGGGUGAAAGUGACUGGGCAGAGAGCCGUCUCCGGGGCCAGAAAAAGAGAAGGUUUGGGGAACAGGAAUGGGACGUGAGAAAAGAAAAUUCACUCCAGAUAUAAAAUAGUUUCCCCUUUCACCUGCCCACUUACCCCUUGGCAAUAACAAGGUGUCUGCUUUCAGGUUCUACAGUGCUCCAGACAGCAAGUGCUGAAUCAGGAUGGGAAAAAGACGCUGUGUUCCUCCACUUGAGCCCAAGUUGGCAGCAGGCUGUUGUGGGGUAAAGAAACCCAAAUUGUCUGGAAGUGGAACACACAGCCACGGGAAUCAAGCCACAACUGUGCCAGUCUCUAGUUCAGGUCCUCUUCAGAACCACCAGCAUGCAGAUGGGGGCAAUGGAAGGGAAAACGUAUCAGAUUUGACUUUGUGCCCUGGAAACUCUCCAAUUACUCGAAUGAAUCCCACUUCAGGAGCCUUGAGCCCACUCGCCCGGCCUAAUGGAACUGCCAACAACACCAAGAACCUAGUGGUGACAGCGGAGAUGUGCUGCUACUGCUUUGAUGUACUCUACUGUCAUCUUUAUGGUUUCCCUCAGCCACGACUUCCUCGGUUUACCAAUGACCCCUAUCCUCUCUUUGUGACGUGGAAGACAGGGCGAGACAAGCGACUUCGGGGCUGCAUUGGGACUUUCUCUGCCAUGAAUCUUCACUCAGGACUCAGGGAAUACACAUUAACCAGUGCACUUAAAGACAGCAGAUUUCCACCCCUGACCCGUGAGGAGCUGCCUAAACUUUUCUGCUCUGUCUCCCUCCUCACUAAUUUUGAGGAUGCCACUGACUACUUGGACUGGGAGGUGGGAAUCCAUGGAAUCAGAAUUGAGUUCAUCAAUGAGAAAGGUGUCAAACGCACAGCCACAUACUUACCUGAGGUUGCUAAGGAACAAGGUGGGUUUGUGAUUGGGAUCAGAUUCAGACAAUAGACUCCUUACUCAGGAAAGGUGGUUUCAAAGCUCCAAUUACCAAUGACUUUAGAAAAACUAUUAAACUCACCAGGUAUCGCAGUGAGAAGGUGACAAUCAGUUAUGCAGAGUACAUGGCUUCUCGUCAGCAUUGUUUCCAGAAUGGCACUCUUCAUGCCCCGCCCCUCUACAAUCAUUACUCCUGACACAAGGCUGCAUGACCAGUCCCGCCCCCCAGCUGCCACUAACAGCUAUGACAUCAUUGGGGCAGAUGCCUCCUCUUCCUGGUCCAGUUACUUCUAUUACUGCACCAUUUUAUGAUGCUAGCUUCCGUUGCCAAGUCUGCCUUGCAGCUGACUGAGGGGUUGGGGGAAUCUGGUGAGUGCAACUGAACUCCAGGGAGCACAAGUCUUACCUCUUCUUUGCUUCAGAAUUAAGGUUCAGUUGGUUUGCGGCUCCAAGACUAGCAGUUGCAGUUAGGUAGAAAGAAUCUUGAUGAACAGCAGUACCACUUCAGAUUGCUCUCUGUGUUAAAUUGCACUGUGUUUAUUUGAAUUGUUAAUUAUGACAGUCCCCUCGGAUCAAGUUGGAGAGUUCUCCUGGCAGUCUGGGCAACGGAGUCCAACAACAGAUUUUUAGGUUUAUUUUUAAUUUUUUAAAACCUCUGAUAUUUACUUACUAUGAGCUGAUUAGUCUUAACAUAUCCCAGGCAAGCAGAUGACAUGACAUGUUGCAAGGAGGGACUCCUCUUUGUAGAGGUUGGCAAUUGCUCGACGCUUCGAACGGGGAAACAAUUUGCUGCAGAUAAAAUAAUUGCAUAUAGAGAUUUCAGUUCUUGCAUCUAGCCACUUUUGCUUUUAACACAGAAGGGAAGUAGCCCUUAGACAUGGGCCCACAAAUACAUCUGUGAAGGUGUACUAGUUGUUAAUGGGAAUGGCUUAGUUUCUUUUCCUCUCUAGAAUAUGAACUCAUUUUUCUUUGGAGCUGCUCUGGGUACCUAACCUGAACAUUCGCAUCAGGGUCUGCAGUUGGACUGGGGCAAGUCUGUUUCCCACAAAGCCAUUACUACAGUCCUAGAAGGAAAAUACAUAAAAAUUGUUUAAAGGAAGUAUUCAGUGGAGACUGUUUAACAGGCAGCAGCUUUCUCCAUCAAGAUUCUGAUAUCCAGAUAAAGAAAUAUGGUAAAUAUUGGCCUUUAAGUUGCUAUCUAAUACAGCCAUGCUACUGCUUUAGUCCUAAAUCCAUGCUCUUGGACAUAAAUGAAAUUGGUUUAAAUUGAACUUGCUUCUAAGUAAAUAUACUUAGAACUGGGACCUGAGGAAUGUUUGGCUGCCAAAAAAAAUCUGUUAACUCCUAUUCACUUUUUACUAUCCUAUAGAUUUUUUGUUCUUUUCCCCUUAUUGCUAAAAAUACCCAGAACACCCAAGUAGUAAAUGAAUUGCACCCUUUUCUGUUCACCCUCCUGGGUCUGUUGUGUGAGUUGCUGAAUGAUGUCAUGAAUGCAGCUGGCAUUAUGACUCUUCCUAAAUGAAUCCACAGGAACUAUGGAAUGAUAAUGCAGGACUUCUGAAUGUCUUGAUCAUUUGAUGGGCAAAGAAAACCCUAAAAAAGCAUAGUAUAAUGAUUUUUUUACCAUGUGUGUAGUAAAAAUAGCUUUUAUAGAUGGCUGAUUAGAGGGCAUUUAUUGAGCAUUCUCUUGGAUUGAGAUGUAGGUCUUCAAUCUCUAGGUUUAAUAAACAUUGCCCUGGAAAGGCAAAGUGUCAAGAGCUGCCUGAACAAAUGUUGAAUCAUUGAUGUAUAAAUAGACAAUGAAUAGCCCAUAGUAGUAAAUAAUAUUUAUUAUUAUCUGGCUUGAUUGCACAAAGAAAAAGGGAAGAUAGCAAUCUGAUACCAUCUUCCUUGCAACAGACAGUUCACAAUCUAGAAUGUCUCCAAAAGUGCCAGUCUAAGUGGAGUUACAUCCUUCUAAGCCUGUUGAUAUCAGUGGACUAGAAGGAUGUAAGUAUGCUUAGGAUGACACAGAAAAUCACAACUUUGAGCACUACUGUUCCUUACAUUGCCCCAGAAGAGAAAAGAACCUCAUUUGCCAAUGAAAAUUUACCUAGUUGUGAAAUGUGGAAAGGCACUCAUCCCAGAUAAUCUGCAGAACCAACAGCUUUAGAUUUGUAUUUUGCGUGGAUUGCCACUUUCCCUUUCUGAUGAUGUUGAACUGUGUUCGGAUAUGAAGGGACUGUUCCAUGAUUUCCUGCUUCUGAGAAUAAAUCAGCCUUGUUACAAAUUAGAGUGAUUUUUGUAUUACUAUCCAAGCUGCCCUGGACUGAUAGGAAACUGUAGAGGGGAGAGGUGGGUUCAGCUCUGGUCAUACCAUCCAUCUCUGCUCUCAGACAGUAUUGAAACAUAGGGCUACACUAAUUACUAUUCAAGUGUUCUAUGUUAGAAUUUAAAUUGUAAAGAUUUUUUUAAAGCAAAAAUGAAAAAAUAAUAAAUGGUGCUAAACUUUCACCCCUGAGCACAUUCGGUGAGACUGGUCAUGCAGGCAUAUAGUGCCAGGCUAUUCAAUCCUGCUUUCUAUUUCCUUUUCAAAUGUUUGCCCUGUUAUGUGUCUUCAGCAGUGUAAUAGUGUUAAUCAAUUUAAUUUUAAAGGGGGGAGGGAGUUUAGGAGCGGGGGUGGGGUGGGGCUUUGCUGCCAUUCUAAAGAACAGACUUUUAGGAGUGUCUUGACCUAUUUGGUUUAAUUUUACCAUUACACUGAUGUAAGUUAAAUUGGUUUGGGAGUGAGAGAUGGUCUCAUUUCUUGUCCCUGUUUUCAUCCCAAUCAACCACUCUCAUGUAAAUGGAAAUGCCUCUGUUAAAAUUGGAUUAUGGUGUUUUCUUGUAGUAAGCAGCACAGCAACCAGGCCACGAAGCACUCAUGAGUUCUCUGAGGAAAAGGGCCUAUUCAGCAUUGGUCUCACACAGAGUCCGGUUACAAAGCAACUGAAGAAGUCAAGUGUUCCUGCAAAAUGUAUAGGAGGGAUAGGCUGUCCUCAAAGAGAGCCCCCCCUUCUGUAUCACACAUAGCAGUAGUGCAUGGAAUUGAGCCCAAACUGAAAUGUACUGCAUUUCAGUUGACUAACUGGCAUUUUUUCAAAAGUUGUGGGAAUCAAUAAAAUACCCAAAAGAUAAUCACCUUUUCUAGAGUUCUAGUCUGUUGUUUUCCUCAGCUGAAUAGGCGGUAAUCUAAUCAUGUGAAGACCUUAGCAAUAGCCUUGUGGUCUGACUGGGAACUGGCUCAUCCUUAGCUACAAGUAAGUGCCUUUUGGUCUUAAUGGGCUUAUUUCUGGAAAUCUGUGGUUGGGAAUCUCCCUUGUUACAGCCAUGUAUGUCUAGUUAUUUUGGGGAGGUGUUUCCCAGUUAAAACAAGGACUGUCUUUGAUCACUGUUGUCUAUUCAUUAUUUGAUGUCCCUUGGUAGUGUUCCCUUUUUAUAAUGACUAACAGCCAAUCUCAAUAGAGGCAUUCCAAUGUGAAAGAUUUUAAGGUCAAACUAUCAUACCUGCAGAUAACAGGUUGGAUCAUGCAGAUCUAUUCCACUAACCAUAGCGCCUUCUUCUGCUGCAAGGUUCCUUUCUCUGAUGCAAGAACUUCUUUCAGUAGCCACUUUUGUCAGAGAAAGGGAUUUCUGCUAGAAAAAUGUGCUGCUGUUAGCAGAAUGGAUUCACAGGACCUAACCCAUCACAUCUAUUGAUAAGGGCAAAGUAUUCUGUAAAUUUUAAUAUUUAGGAGUUAUUGAAUUUCACAUUUGUUUUCCCUAAUUCAUCUUACCAUCAGUCUUCACUGACUGUUUUCUGUUCUGUUUUUUAGAGCCAAAAUGGUUAAGGUUUGGUUAACUUGAGUUUAUUUCUUUUUAAAGCAAGGAACCUCCUUUACCUUCAAUGCAAAGAUGUCAGACCAAUUCUUUGUUAUUACACUUGGUUGCCUCCUAGCUAUAUAACUUCUGAGUGUAAAUCAUUGAACUUUACCCUCUAAUGAAGUAUUGUAGAAAAUAAAUUGUAAUGGAUACA